AGGCGAAACGCCCUUCGGGGUGUCCGGCCGGCUUGGGUUGCCGACCGCUGAUGAGCCAGCCUGCU
Molecule: non-coding RNA, 65 nt
Filed under: Streptomyces sp. H34-S4
Lineage: Bacteria; Bacillati; Actinomycetota; Actinomycetes; Kitasatosporales; Streptomycetaceae
Source: RNAcentral